CCUACGGGGGGCAGCAGUGAGGAAUAUUGGGCAAUGGAGGCAACUCUGACCCAGCCAAGCAGCGGGAGUGAAGAAGGUUUUCGGAUUGUAAAGCUCUUUCGGAUGUGACGAUGAUGACGGUAGCAUCUAAAGAAGCCCCGGCUAACUUCGUGCCAGCAGCCGCGGUAAUACGCAGGGGGCAAGCGUUGUUCGGAAUUACUGGGCGUAAUGGUAGUGUAGGCGGUUUAGUAAGAUAGUGGUGAAAUCCCAGGGCUUAACUUUGGAAUUGCCAUUAAAACUAGUAGACUAGAAUUCCAGAGAGGAUAGUGGAAUACGCAGUGUAGAGGUGAAAGUCGUAGAUAUUGGGUAGAACACCAGUGGCGAAGGCGACUAUCUGGCUGUACAUUGACGCUGAGGCUCGAAAGCAUGGGGAUCAAACAGGAGUAGAUACCCGAGUAGUC
This 440-nucleotide ribosomal RNA is filed under the name uncultured bacterium. Its description in RNAcentral is "partial 16S ribosomal RNA". It matches the Rfam family "Bacterial small subunit ribosomal RNA", at positions 338 to 795 of the family's 1533-position model. The record is from RNAcentral.